Molecule: long non-coding RNA, 1095 nt
Organism: Oncorhynchus tshawytscha (Chinook salmon)
Lineage: Eukaryota; Metazoa; Chordata; Actinopteri; Salmoniformes; Salmonidae
Exons: 2
Source: RefSeq, a predicted model, not a curated record
UUCAUACAGAGGAAAUCUAACUAGUUACAGUAGCUCCCUAACAGGUCAUGUUAACGUUAGCCAACAUAGCUACUUAACUAUCAAUCCUGAAGCAUAACAAGUGUUUGCAAACCUCGUCAAGAUCCACGUAUGGCCCAGCUCCUUCGCGGAACAUCUCAUCACGAGGGUCUAAUCACAGCCCUGCUGCCUGCUGGCAACCAUCCGACUAACAUCAAUGUUGCUGCUCGUGAAGAUCUCCCUGGCUUUGUUGACGGUGGCGGCAGGGAGGGUGCGUGUGCGCCCCAGGAUCCAGGCAAAGUCCAUGUGGAACAGACGCAGGACAUCGGUGCAGGAAUAGAUCAGCGCUGAGUUCUCAUAGUCAGUUGAGAGGAUCCAGUAAGGAGAGUAGGGCAGGACUAUUAGAGACACAGAGAUGAGAAACAAACAGAUGAAGGCAAGACACACAGGAUCACAUUAGGUUUAUUUCACAGAUUAUAAUGUGAUUGCAGUCGUGAUGACUUCUUCAAACUGCAAGACAUGUAAUUAUCCCUCUCAAAUGGUGUCAAGAUCAACAUAGUGGGAUGAGAUGGCCUUCGGUUCUUAUUUUAUAUUAUUCUGUUUAUAUGGGCUAACAGGUCCAACUCAUGACAUCUGCUGACUUUCAAAAAACAACCCCUACCAUUUGAACUGUGGUGAGUGAUCUCUACUGCUCAGUUUGUCCUUAAAGGCUAGUAUCUUUCUCAUAUUUGUUGACCAUUGAAUGUCAUUUGUUAGCUGUGAAGUCUACACACAUGUUUAGUAGGGCACACUGUAGCAAAAACAUUUAGCAACGGAAAACAAACAAGCAAAAUCUCAUAGGACAAUUUCAGGUAGUAGCUACCUCCCUGUUUUAUUCAAUGGUUUAUAUAUACACUAGAUGACUAACAGGGGCCGCUGUUUUGAUGCCACCUUGCCCUCCAUCUUGGAACUACCCCACCGCUAUAAAAAAGACUUUAGAAGCUAUAGAAAGUAAUUUAUUAAUGUCUACAUUUGUUUUUGCCACGUUUAUUAUAUUACACCUUAAUGCAUAUUUGUUUAUAAUAUUAUGUGAGCAUGAAAAUAAAAAUAUAAAAUAUA